RNAcentral lists this ribosomal RNA (301 nucleotides) under uncultured bacterium. Its description in RNAcentral is "partial 16S ribosomal RNA". It matches the Rfam family "Bacterial small subunit ribosomal RNA", at positions 509 to 807 of the family's 1533-position model. The record is from RNAcentral.
CAGUCGCCGCGGUAAUACGUAGGGGGCAAGCGUUGUCCGGAAUCAUUGGGCGUAAAGCGCGUGUAGGCGGCUCGAUAAGUCUGCUGUGAAAGUCCAGGGCUCAACCCUGGAAUGCCGGUGGAAACUGUCGAGCUCGAGUCCGGAAGAGGCAAGUGGAAUUCCUGGUGUAGCGGUGAAAUGCGCAGAUAUCAGGAGGAACACCAAUGGCGAAGGCAGCUUGCUGGGACGGUACUGACGCUGAGACGCGAAAGCGUGGGGAGCAAACAGGAUUAGAUACCCCCGUAGUCCCUGUCUCUUAUAC